RNAcentral lists this long non-coding RNA (950 nucleotides) under Sorghum bicolor (sorghum). Its description in RNAcentral is "long non-coding RNA (SBIC_LNC002998)". The record is from RNAcentral. Lineage: Eukaryota; Viridiplantae; Streptophyta; Magnoliopsida; Poales; Poaceae.
UCAUACUCUUAGAUCAAAGACUUUGGAAAUUAAAAACUUUGUCAACUCUUACUGGCAUAUUGCUUAUUAGAGGGACCAUGGGCUAUCAUUUUUUUUCAAUUUUUUUAAGUGGAUACCGAGGUACCUCUAAUUCUACUGCCGGACACUUGUCCAUUUUUUUCUGCGAGGUUGUCGAGCACUUGCUCCUUUUUAUUUCCUCGAAAUAUCUCUAUUUUUGCAUAGCCCAUGCCUCUAAUGCAAUAAUACUUCGGAAGAGUGAAUCUUACUGAAAUAGUGUCUUGAUCUUGGGAGCAUGAUAAAUCUCUCAACAAGGGUCUAACUCAUUUUGAACAAACUCAAUAUAGAGCAGAUAGCUUUUAUAAUCAUAAUUAAUAUUUCAGUUUUAUCAGGCAUAUAAAACACUGAGGAUGGUAGCUAGGAAUUUGAACAUUUUGAAAUAAAUUCUCCAAGCAACAAUGAUAUCAAGAAUAAGAAACUCAUACUCUACCAUCACAUAUUCCAUCUUGACUUAAGUAACACAGGGUUUUUUAAAAAUGAUUUUAUACUAAUUGCAAGUUUUCAGGAAAUAUCACAGAUUGAGAUUAAUCAUGAUUAGAAAUAUUUUACUCUUUUUAUUUUAUCAUGUCAGAAACAGUAAUCUGCAUAAUCCAAAAUAAAUGUAUGUAUGAAGUAAAGUGUGCAGAGUGUGUACCUGAAUCGUGGAGUGGUGUAGUCGGAGUGUGUUUAGCAUGUCGAGGGAUCUCCCCCAUACUUGUUUUCUGCUUUCUUGCACAAAAAUAAAGUAGAGACACACAAGACAUAAUAAUAAUACUCUUUAUUGAUCUUGAGGCAUUUAUUACACAAGGAAGAACAAAAUUAUUUUUGGCUAUUCUCUCCCGGAUUAGGAGUAGAAUAUUUUUGGGUGAUUCUGAAGAUGGAAAUGUAUGGAUAUAUGUGGAUGGUACUUCCGG